Molecule: ribosomal RNA, 305 nt
Filed under: uncultured bacterium
Lineage: Bacteria
Description: bacterial SSU rRNA
Rfam family: Bacterial small subunit ribosomal RNA
Source: RNAcentral
UCCUACGGGGGGCAGCAGUGGGGAAUAUUGCACAAUGGAGGAAACUCUGAUGCAGCGAUGCCGCGUGAGGGAAGAAGGUUUUCGGAUUGUAAACCUCUGUCUUAAGGGACGAUAAUGACGGUACCUUAGGAGGAAGCUCCGGCUAACUACGUGCCAGCAGCCGCGGUAAUACGUAGGGAGCGAGCGUUGUCCGGAAUUACUGGGUGUAAAGGGAGUGUAGGCGGGAUGGUAAGUUAGGUGUGAAAUGCGGAGGCUCAACCUCCGAGCUGCACUUAAAACUGCUGUUCUUGAGUGAAGUAGAGGUU